CGUAUGAAACAGCAUUACGAGAUCUCUAUGCUUUCAUUCUCACACAUCUGGGGAACAAUUAACCCACAGGUAAAUUAAUGAUUCUAAUUUUGUGUACAAAUAUUACUUAUAUCUGUAGUAAUAUUUUAGGUGGAGAUCAAUGGCGGGUGCCACCUCGGCGCUGUUUCUUCUUGAUAUGAAAGGUAGAUGCCUUAUAAGUCGUGACUAUAGAGGCGAUGUUUCUGCUCAACAAGUCGAGAAAUUCUUUUCUAAGCUCCUCGAGAAAGAGGGUGACGUAGAAUCUCAUGGACCAGUAUGCUAUGAAAAUGGCGUGAAUUACAUGUUUAUACAACACAACAACAUUUACCUGAUGGCAGCAUCGAGGCAGAAUUCUAAUGCUGCUAGCCUCCUUUUCUUUCUACAUCGUGUAGUUGAUGUCUUUAAGCACUAUUUUGAAGAACUGGAAGAGGAGUCUCUACGAGAUAACUUUGUCGUUGUGUAUGAAUUGCUUGAUGAAAUGAUGGACUUUGGUUACCCUCAAUAUACGGAAGCUAAGAUUCUUAGUGAGUUUAUCAAGACGGAUGCAUACAGAAUGGAAGUCACCCAGCACCCUCCAAUGGCCGUGACAAAUGCAGUUUCGUGGCGCAGUGAGGGGGUAUUUUAUAAGAAUAAUGAAGUAUAUUUGGAUGUGGUCGAACAUGUUAAUCUCCUUGUCAACAGCAACGGCCAGUCAAUACGUUCUGAAGUUAACGGGGCGUUAAAAAUGAGAGCUUAUUUGAGUGGCAUGCCUGAGUGCAAGCUUGGGCUUAAUGACAGAUUAAUAUUGGAGGCUCAAGGUCGGCCUACCAAAGGCAAAUCCAUUGAUUUGGAUGAUAUCAAAUUUCAUCAGUGUGUGCGUUUGGCUCGUUUUGAAAAUGAUCGCACAAUAUCUUUUAUACCUCCUGAUGGCUCAUUUGAUCUGAUGACAUAUAGACUCAGUACUCAGGUGAAGCCACUGAUUUGGGUAGAAGCUCAAGUUGAAAGGCAUUCAAGAAGCCGGGUUGAGAUGUCUGUCAAAGCCAGAAGCCAGUUUAAGGAGCGUAGCACUGCUAUGAAUGUGGAAAUUGAGUUGCCUGUGCCAUCUGAUGCGAUGAAUCCCAAUAUACGAACUUCAAUGGGAUAUGCUACAUAUGCUCCUGAGAGAGAUGCUGUGGUAUGGAAAAUCAAGUCAUUUCCUGGUAAUAAGGAGUAUAUGCUGAGGGCAGAGUUUAGACUUCCAAGUGUAAUAUCUGAAGAUACACCUCCUGAUAGAAAAGCUCCAAUCCGUGUUAAGUUUGAGAUACCAUAUUUUACUGUCUCAGGAAUUCAGGUCUUAGACAAAGCCAUAUCCAUGUUAAGGCUGCCUCUAAGCUGCUCAAGAGAUUCAAAAAACAAUAUCUUUAUAUUCAAUGAGGGCAUCAUGUAGAUAAAGAUAUUAAACUGUUAACAAGAUAUUCGACUUGGCAAAUGAUGGAAAACAAUGUUUCAAGAAACCAAACCCUUUGUAUCAUGAUCGGUUUUGAAGACCAUUCAGCAUAUGACUAGAUUAGAAUUUUUGUUGGUUCGUUAUCUCAAAAUUAUUGAAAAAAGCGGAUAUCAAGCUCUUCCAUGGGUGAGGUACAAAACAAUGGCUGGUGAGUACGAACUAAG
Molecule: non-coding RNA, 1647 nt
Organism: Nicotiana tabacum (common tobacco)
Lineage: Eukaryota; Viridiplantae; Streptophyta; Magnoliopsida; Solanales; Solanaceae
Source: RefSeq, a predicted model, not a curated record